Molecule: long non-coding RNA, 475 nt
Organism: Rhipicephalus sanguineus (brown dog tick)
Lineage: Eukaryota; Metazoa; Arthropoda; Arachnida; Ixodida; Ixodidae
Exons: 4
Source: RefSeq, a predicted model, not a curated record
UUGUAGAAGGAACACCGGUAUAACUGUUAUAUCUUUUGAACCAAGUACAAGUAUUGCCACUCAUCCUAUAGCAGCGGCACUACAAUGAGGUCUGCACUGAUGUCUCCCCUGCUUUUGGCGUCACAGUCUGUGUGACUUCCGAUGCACGAGUGCUUCCGGAAUGCCCCAUUAUUAAGUGCCCGUAUGAAUUUAAGGCAGGGUGCUUCAUCAGGGAGGACAUGUGUCAGUGCUCUUGUGUUCUGGACGACGCUCCCUGUCACUACGUCAUCCGGAAUUUCCAGCGCUACUGCAAGGCCAAUGAGUUACUUGAGUGUUCUAAAGAUUCUUCCACCUGUAAAUGUCAGUGCGUUCCUGAGUGAGCCCUUGACGCAAGAUUUCUCAUUCAGCUCAGUUUGUCGGGCAAGAAUAAUGUAACACCUACUUUCUUCAAUAAGUUACUUCAUGUACUGCAAGAUAUGAGAAUAAAGACACCAAG